CUGUCUGUCGUCCCUGACGCGUGACGCGGCUGACGCCUGACAUUUACAGCUUUGACUGUGAUGUAUCAUGGUAAUAUGUUUAUCUAAAAGCAGAGAGAUUUUGUGGCAUUGCAGAGAGCGAAUAAGCGGAAUGGAAAAAUAGAUGCAAGGUCAGAUGACUCUGGCAAGAUAUAGCCUAGAAUAGAUGCUAUUAUACCAUGCCUGAUGCAUGAUUGUUGCAGCCUCUUCAAUUGAAUGAACAAAGACAAAAGUUACAAAGACAACUACAAUCCUACAGCAUCGAAAGUGUUAAAAGAAGACAAUUGCUUACCAUUUGCUGGCAAAUAUGGAAUUGGGAUCUUGCUUAAAAGUACUUGAUACCUUUUUCAUGGGAAACCUCAUUUCACAUUCUUCUGCCAUUUUGAUUUACUUUUAUCAAAGUGUCAACCAUUUUUUUAGUCUGUAGACUGACAAAUUCAGGAUGAGUUUACUUCCAAGCAUUGACACAACAUACAUCUCCAUACAGAAAAAAAUGUGUUGGUGAAUGUUGUCAAGAAUGCAGAUGAUACCAAUAUAUACUUCUGAAUUCAGGAAUUUAGUUAAUUUACUGUGAUAUCAACCUAAGCAAAAUCUUCAUAUGUGAAGUGCUUUCAGACUUCAUUGGUGCCGAAUUUUUGAGUAUAUUAUCACCAGAACGUCAUACAAAAUAACUUGGGCAGAAAACAGAUACCUUUGGACAAUGGUUACACCAAGGGCAGUGAAUGCAUUUCUCUUUUCACCAUUGGUCAGCUGACUUGCCUUCCCAGUUGCAAUGAAGAAGAAUGAUUAGUCAAAAGUAUUAAAAGGCUGUAGGCCGUACUGAUCAAAACAAAUUUAAACAAACGAUCAUUUUUUUAACAAUCAUAAAGGAAACAAGCAACAGUUAUGGUUCGUUUGGUUGGAGCCCUUUGUCAACAAAGGGAGAGAGGACGAAGUCAAACGUAUCCGAAAGGUACGGGGUUACAAGAUGGAAGCUUAGCCACGGUUUAUUGUCAAACAAAUAGACACGACUGUCGGAGCCCUUUGUGCGCAGGGCAUUUGACGAACCGGGCACUCAAAUGACGCUAAAGACUUUUCACUUUGCUUGUGUGGCACCGAUGAACAUCACACAGGAACUUUCUGGAUUAAGGAAAUCAUUAACGCCCUAAAGGCCUUUAGUACACCUGUUAUCUCCACCCAGCUUCUAAUUGUUGACGACCCGGAAUAUGCGCGACAAGUUAAAGGAAGGAUCGAAAACAAUUUUCGGAGAACUAAAUUAAACAAUUUUUCGUUAUCAAUAUUUUUCAAUUGUCUUUUUAUGUGACGGGAUAUUUCGAUGAAGUAUAACUGCCUGAUUAUUUUUAAUGUCGAUUAAAUUAGACAUUAACCGAAUCCGCUUGCUAAAACUCGAGGUGGCUGCAAAUUCUAUCUAGUAGAGCCUCUGUAUACAUGUAAACUGAAAAUAAAGCCUGCUUUCAUCGAAGUCAUUAGUGAAACAAUACAAAUUGUAAAGCUGUGCUCCAUCUGCAAAAUCGUCAAUGUAUCUGUGAGGCAGUACCUCAAAGAACAAUUGCCUAGGGACUUCAUACAGGGUUUGCCAACUGCUAGCCGAGCUGUCAUCAACAUCGACGAUACAAGGAAACCGCAUAGAUAGUGUGUUUAUCUGUUAACUGCUUCAAAUUGACUCAGAAUUAGGCAGCAAUUUUGGAAGUUGUUGCUUUCUCAGUAUGAAUGAGCUUCAAUGUUGGUGUUGCAGGUGUUACCCAUGUUACGUUGACUGUUUGGAUUCCUAUUCAUUAACAUUUCAAAACCAAAUUCAUCUUCUUAAAAUUGACUCGAAAGGAUUUAGAUCAUUCUAGGAAAAUAUCUAUCAAAGAUGCAAAGCUCUAAUGGGAUUAAUUUAUCCGUCAAGUACGUUUUCAUUUGCAGUCUGUAUGUCCUUUCCGAAGGCUCUGCCAGAAGAAUAUGCUAAAUAAUGAAUUUAUGAAUCGCGUUCCUUGGUUGGGGCGAGAUACCGAAUAAAGUUUAAUGAUUGGAUGCACUA
Daphnia magna is the source of this 2041-nucleotide long non-coding RNA. RefSeq lists it as uncharacterized. NCBI's taxonomy places the organism in Eukaryota, Metazoa, Arthropoda, Branchiopoda, Diplostraca, Daphniidae. The transcript is spliced from 14 exons. The record is from RefSeq and is a predicted model, not a curated record.